AGUUUUGCUGGUUUGCAUUCCGCUGGAGAUUGCGUUGGUGUGCAAAUCCAUGCAAAACUGA
Molecule: microRNA precursor, 61 nt
Organism: Gadus morhua (Atlantic cod)
Lineage: Eukaryota; Metazoa; Chordata; Actinopteri; Gadiformes; Gadidae
Source: Ensembl